This 618-nucleotide ribosomal RNA is filed under the name Turbo setosus. Its description in RNAcentral is "partial 12S ribosomal RNA". It matches the Rfam family "Bacterial small subunit ribosomal RNA", at positions 528 to 1384 of the family's 1533-position model. Lineage: Eukaryota; Metazoa; Mollusca; Gastropoda; Trochida; Turbinidae. The record is from RNAcentral.
GACAAACUAGGUCAAAUUAAGACUUAUACAGUAAAAAAGGGGGUUAGGGAAUUUAUAUUGCGUAUACAAGAGAAAUUAAAUUUUUUAUAGAGGUGGAAUUUGUAUAAAAAAAUUGAUUUAUUAUUCUCUUUUUUCUUGAAGCCCCGAAAUCUCAUUUAGAGACCGGGAUUAGAUACCCCGUUAUCUGAGAUAUAAAACUUAAUUCAAUUGAAAUUUACUUGAGUAUUACGGGUUCUAUAAACUUAGAGUUUAUUAGGAUAAUUUAAAACUCAAAAGACUUGGCGGUGCCUUAAAUCCUUUCAGGGGAACCUGUCCUGUAAUUGAUAAUCCACGAUUCACCUUUCCUUUUUUUGAAAAUAUAAUUCAGUCUGUAUACCGUCGUCGUCAGAUUACCUUUAAAAGUAAAGAAGUUAUCAGCAAGAUUAUUAUAAAUACAGGGAAUUGUAUUAAUUGUAUUUUCUAGACGUCAGAUCAAGGUGCAACUAAUAAAAAGGAAGAGAUGGGUUACAAUAAUAAGUUAUUAUACGAAUUUUUUGUUGCAAAACAAAUUUAAAGGCGGACUUGAAAGUAAUAAUAAGAGAAGUAGAGAGUCUCAGUGAAAAUGGCUCUAAGGCGUGU